RNAcentral lists this ribosomal RNA (253 nucleotides) under uncultured bacterium. RNAcentral describes it as "partial 16S ribosomal RNA". It matches the Rfam family "Bacterial small subunit ribosomal RNA", at positions 524 to 776 of the family's 1533-position model. The record is from RNAcentral.
UACAGAGGUGGCAAACGUUGUCCGGAUUUAUUGGGUGUAAAGGGCAUGUAGGUGGUCUUGUAAGUCAAAGGUGAAAUGGCCCGGCUCAACCGAGUCAUUGCCUUUGAAACUGCCGGACUCGAGUACGGAAGAGGAGAGCGGAAUUCCCAGUGGAGCGGUGAAAUGCAUAGAGAUUGGGAGGAACACCGGUGGCGAAGGCGGCUCUCGGGUCCGAAACUGACACUGAGAUGCGAAAGCCAGGGGAGCAAACGGG